Long non-coding RNA from Monomorium pharaonis (pharaoh ant), 7213 nucleotides. RefSeq lists it as uncharacterized. The transcript has 2 exons. The record is from RefSeq and is a predicted model, not a curated record. NCBI's taxonomy places the organism in Eukaryota, Metazoa, Arthropoda, Insecta, Hymenoptera, Formicidae.
CGAAAAUAGCAUAAUUAUAAUAGUUGCUUGGAUAUUGUAGAUAAACGUAUGGAUGGUUUAGAUGUAAAAUAAGAUUAAUGAAUGAAUAGUAAGAUUCUAUCUAUCGCAUUUAUAUUCAUGUAAAAAUGUUAUUCUUUAAUCUUUCAUUUAAGAUUUAUUGAGUAUACAACAAUUAAUAAACACAGACACAGAUCGCACGUUAAAAACCAUAUUUAAUGCAUGUAUCAAAAGAGCAAUAAAUAAUUUUAAAAAAUUUGAUCAAUGAUAAAAUUUUGACACUCUUAACAGCGCUUUUAAUAGCGUAUUAAUAAUUAAAAAUAUAAUAUAAUACUAAAAAAUAUUUAAUUUUUGCUCAAAAAUUUUUUGAUACUUUUUAUAUUAUUAUCGUAAAGAUAUAUACAAGAAAAAGAUCGAAAUAAUAAUAACCGUAGAUUGAAGAAGCAGUCUAAUCGUCAAAAGUUGUAUUCGAAUAGAAGAAAAAAGAAGGAAGAGAAAGAACUAAAAGGACGAUCCCAUUUGGGGCACUGAGUUGGCGCGCAGAGAGGGUACAUAAACGCGGCCAGACGACCAGAACGAUCCCAAUAUGUCAGCCCCUCUUUGCUGAGAUAAACUCGCAGGACGUGCGUUGAAUGCGGUUACCUUGGCGCAUAGGUGCGCGAAUGCACUUUUUCGCACCGUCGCGCGUCAAACGAGAUCGCGAAAAUUUCACACCACCAUUGGAAUCCUACCUGGUAUGCGAGACAUCGCCGCUAGAUAGGAAAAUGACCGUUGAACACGUGAAAAUGCGAUUUAUUCGUCCCCGAAGAGAAUCAGAUACAGAGUUUUCGAAAUAAAACAACGCGAUACUCUGUGUGCAUCGCAAGAUUUCUAACGCCGUGAUGUCGAUUAUCACUUUGCUAAACUACCAGCUAAAGUUUGAUUCAUCGUUACACUUUUAUUCAGGUGUAAUCAAGCGACUCGAGUAAAUGGACAAGUUUCGUAAUGAGUAAUUUAGAUAUUCAUCACCGUGCUGAUCCUCUUUUGGCCACCUCCGCCUCGUCGUUUCGCUCCCCGAGGCGGUGCAGAAAUCGACAAAUUAAUUCGGGGAGACUAUAAUUCCACAUUAAAGUCGACCAGUCUCCAUGGCAUGUUUGCCGACAACAAAAUUGCGCGCGCGAGCCUUAAAGCGACUCCGGUAGAUGAGACGGAUCAUCCGGACGGUUUAAUUCGAAACUUCAAUUCAGGAUCUGUUCCGCGCGCCUCGCUAUCCGCUAAAGUGGAUAACGUGCGGCCAGUCUGUACGCUUUCAUUGAACGCUCGAUCGCAUAUACGAUGUUUCACGAGCACAUAUGUAUGUACAUGCUUGCGCGGAUUGACCAUUACCAGAGAAUGCGACCUACAAGAUAGAGAUAGAUAGAUAGAUAGAGAGAGAUGAAGGAAGAGAACAGAGUGCAUCUGCGGAAGCAGUAAGCGAAUUGCAGUGUUGCAAUUAAAACAAAUGUAGGGGAAAGUUACUGAAAGCGCACCGAUCACCUAAAUCGUAUUUCAUCAAUAUUUUACAUUUUUAUUAACAUAGGUAACAUUUAAUCGCGAAAGAAUAAAAUAAAUAAGAAAUGUAUAAAACAAAAAUUUAACAGACUCUUAACAAUACUUUAAAAAUUAGAUAACAGCUGAUAAUAAUCGUAUAAUUUUGUACGAAUCUUUAUAUUUUCAUAAAAGAAAGUUUAUAUUAUGAAACAUUUUACAUUCACCGUAUAUUUGCAUAUUAUUACACAAAUUAAAUGAAAAUUUUUAUAAAAAGUAUAAUUUAUUUCUAUAUUAUACUUAAAAAUUUAUUAAAAUGUUUGUGGAUUAAAACGCUCAGUCAGUGCGGAAAUGAUGACUGUAUAAAACGCUGUAAAAGAAAAAAAACAUUCGAAGAUGAAAAGAAGCACAUAAAGGAAUUAGGAUGUAACGUUUCGGUGCUCUUUUCCAAUAGGAUAGCUUUUUUUCCCGGGAAGCCUCCAUACAUUGCUUCUCUCGGAAGCAAACUCGCAAAACAGGAUAUUAAAUUUUUAAUCCAUCACUAAAGCCGAAUGAAAACGGAUGUCCUGGAGCAAGAAAACUAGCACUAGAAACGCGACAAUUGGGUUUUUGCUUUCAAUUAAAGUUAUGUGAUUAUUUAUAGUACAAGUUAUUUUUGUCGUAAUUCUUUCUUCCGAGCUGUGCACUAAUUCUAGAUGUAGAAGAAGAUAUUGAAAUAUAUGCAUUGAAAAAUAAUAAAUUGGGAAUAAUGUACUAUUUAAACUUCUCGAUAUAAUUAUAAUAAGGUACCUUAAGCUCACUUAAUUUUUGUAGGAACACUAUUGUGUAAACAGAAUUUUUUAACUUUCGUUAAAUUGUCUCAUUCAAGUAUUUUGAUUAUCACUUAUAACAUAAAAAUAAUCACUAUUAGAGCAAAUUGUAGAGAUCAAUUAAAAAAAAAUAAAUUAAUUAAGCGUUUGAUAUUGUCUACAACCGAAUUAAAUACCAUUGACAUUUUUAAUUGAAACUAUCAAAGAGGCGAAAUAAAAAAUAGAAAAAAUAUUGUACGGAUAAAUUGUGUAUGACUACAAACACCAUUCCUGUAGUUUAUUCCUAAUGCUGCAAAUAAACUUCGUAAAUGAAGCGUAUUAAAAUGCUAUACAUGCAAUUUGGAUAUCACAACAUGUAUUUUUUAUUAUUCUCCUUCUCAUUGUCCAGUGUAAACUCCAUUGAAAUCGUGCUAAUUCCACCGUAAUUUCGGCGUGUUACAUUAUUAACAGGCACAUUUUUAAUAUGUAGAUAGAAGUUUAAUGGAGGCGACACGUUAGUCGUGUGUGUCGUAUUGCAAAACGCAAUAAGCGGCUUGGCGAACGCGUAAAUCGCGUCAGCGCCAAAAAUCAUGUUACUCCUGGACAUUGCGCGCUCUUCGUGUUUUGUCCGCGUGCUGGGCGUUAAUUUCGGAAAAUGCAAAAAGCAUUCCCAUGCUAACUGCAAAAACGCCGCGCCGCGGCCAUUGCCCGCACGCGUCGCGGUGGGAUUGUAUUCUAUAAAAUCAGAGUGCAUCCUGCCCUGCUUUGCAGAUCUGUUUGGUGUCACGAAACGUUUUUCGUGGAGGUGCACGAGAAAGAGGAGACGGAAAGGAGGAGGAGGAGGAGGAUGAGGUGGUACGCCGCACAAAGUUUUCAGACGAUACAUUGUUGUUGGCUACAGUUUUAACGUUGCUCCUAAUGGAUUACACACGUCUUACGGGCAGCGUAAAAUGACAAACAUUUUAUACAGCGCUCGCAAGAACUCGCGCUCCUUCUUCUUUUUUUUUUUACACUUUGCACGAUGAGUUUCCGAAGUAGUGCGAACCAUAUUGAAAGAGAAAGAGAAAAACAAAAACAAAAUAAAAUACAUCAAAGAGGAAACAAUCCGUUAUGUUUGGUAUUUUUUCAACGUCGCCGACGUGUUUUUCGGAAAUUCCCUUCGUGCGCGAGGACGAGUUUUGAAAGCAUUGUUGGUCUCCUCUGUGUCUCUGGACCCCCAUAAGUCUCGAUUCCCUUGACAUAUUGAAGACACCGUUGAUUGCUUUUCCAUUUGCAAGUGACGGACUCGAAACGCGCGGCGUAACUCCCGCGGGUGCGAAACGCCCGAAGCUAACGAGCUGCUCGUCGUCGUUCUCUGUCACGGGAGACCACUUCUGCAUUGUACGACACGCUCGAACGGAUUGCGCCGGUACGCAAAUAUUAUUUUAACGAAGUUACGGGGCUAUCGAACCCAUUGGUGGUCCGGUCACGCGAGUGUUAGUAUCGAUUUUCUCUUUCGUACGUAUGAAUAGUCUAGCACAGCCGCCGUUUUUAAAACACAGACGCACUUACGAGGAAACAUUCUCCAUUCGUUUUUCAGGCAGUUCCUGAAAACAUCGCUCAGUGAAAUAAGAGAAACUUACUCGUUUUUUUUUUAAUGUGUACAUAUUCUAUUUGUAUAACCAUGAAUUGGGGAAAAACACUCGACAUCAACACGACAUGUGUGACAUAUGCAACAAAUAUUUGCCUCUAUAUAUUUUUGAGGAAGUGUCGAAUCUUUCUUUUUGUUUCCGUUAAAAAAAAAAUUAUAAACCGCACGACUUAAUCUUCGCGUUUCGAUUCGGACGUACAGAUGUAGAAAAUAAAGAGGAGAAAUCCGAUAAUUAAAAAUGAUCCGGCAAAUGCCGCAGUUUAGACUUAAAUAAACAAUAUUGCAACUCUGCAAUUUGCCGUUUGCUAAACUACAUCACAAUUUUAUGAGACAUAUCAGGCUGACAGUAUGAAGAUAAAUCGAUGACAAUAUAAAACGAUAAUAUUGAACCUGGCAUUUAAUCAGGAUUCGGCAACGAGCGUAUAUCAUUUAAUUGAGCGUGAUAGCGUCGAUACGUGUCAAUUCACAGCAGUGUCGUUAACGCGAUCGGAAUAAUUCGAGCGGAAGGGAUUAAUUUGCAGCAACCGACCAGUCGUUUAAAUUCAUGUAUCAGAUUACGAGUUCGAGACUUCGAAAUGCGCGCAAAACGAGUAUAGGCGUAAUCAUUUUGGUGGUAAUUGAAUGUUUAAUCACACUGCGCAAAUGUGCAUGCCUCAUCGGCCGGGUGCCACAAUAAUCGAUUCCGUUGGUAAUUACGAAGGAUUCAGCAUGCGCCUCGGCCCUACAGUAAAUUACCGCGUAAUUUAAAAGAACGGCUUUGAAACUGUAAAAAUGCGAAUCGUCAUUGCCAAUUAACUUCGCAUAUAUACAACGUACACAUAAUUACUCGGAGGACACGUAACAACAUUAUGCAACUUUGCUUUAUAUAUUACAUGUGUUCAACCGUUCACGUCGAAACCAACGACGCGGCGCGCGCUGGCAACCACAUUUUGUAGCAACAGAUUGUACUCGUAAUUGCUUUUUAAGUAAUCGAGUUUCCCGUUAACAUGUUUUUUUUUUUUUUCAAUUUUUGCGAUACACGUUGUUAUGUCGAAAAAAUAGAUUUCACAAAAGCCUCUUAAUACAGUUGUUAUCGUUACAUUUCAAAACCGUAUAUAUGUUUAUACAUCGCGACGUUUUGUACAAUACAUUGAUUUCGUCACCCUCGUGGUGAAUUUUUAUCAUUUUAUUAUUUCUUGUGUUUCUACACCAGUUAAUCUGUUUUUCUUCAAAUCGUAUACAAGUUAUUUUGUUAUAAGCCUUUUAUUCUGCGUAAAGUUUAUGCCCCUCAUUCCUCUUGUAUGCGUAGUCACUCUAAUGCAGGAUUAGAGCGCACACUUUAGCUGGCGGAGGGUCAUAAAUUUCACCGAUUUUAUCGAGGAAAAUUUAGAGACACUAUAAAACCUCGUCGAACGCAGAUGUAUGCAUAUAUGCGAAUAUAUCGGUAUAGUAAGUUUAGCAGCACAUUAAUCUGUCUGCGAUAUUCGAGACACUUAGAGACACGAUGGUAGUUUCAGCAUUUUGAACCCCGAGUUAUAAAAAAAAAUCUUUUUGCCUUUCUUGUUUUGCAACAAAUACAGUAUUCCUUUAUUUUAAUCUUUCUUUGUGUAUAAUUAUUAAAAUAACAUGAUUACAUUAGUAUCAGCUACAUAAAUUGAUCAGAAAUUAACAUCAGUUGUAUCUGAUUUUUUAAGUAUUGUUAAAAAUGCACAAAACAAAAUGGAAUAUGCAAUCUAUUAAAUUUUUGCCUGUAUUACUCAUUUUUUUCUCAUUUAUUUCAUAUUUUUAUCGCUAAAUGUUGCAUAUUAAAUAAAAAUGUAAUUUUUAAAUUCAAUAAUUCUCCCCGUAUAUGGGGAGAAAAGUAUAAAUAUUAAUUGGCUAUCAAUCGAUUAAAUUAAAUUGUAAUCCUAUUUAUUACGUGAUUAUAGAGUGUGCGAUUUACGAGCGCUUGUAACUCCUGUCUUCCCUGGUCGCGAUAACAUGAUCGUAAAAGCCCAAUCCACUCAGUUUUCAUCAAGAAUUCAUCGGGACAUCGAUCUUUCUCACAGCUCCACGGAUAUAGCAGAAUUGAUCUGGCGAAUGUAAAAAUGUAAAUGCAAUGGGGUUUAAAAUUGAUCUGUAUUAUCCGUUAUCUUUUACACACAUAAUUUUUACAAUUUUUUUUUAGUAUUCUGUAUAGCAUUGACAAUUAAAUAAAUUUUUGACAAAAUAAAAUAUUUUGCAAUAAAACAAUAAAAAAACUUUUAUUGAUAGGUAUUUUACUAAACAAAUUUCAUGUAUAAAAUAACAAAUACAGAAAAUAACAUAGCCCUUAACAGAAAAGAUUAUAUCAAAUUGAGUACGCCAUGUUCGCGUCGCACAGGAAAUGAUUAAUUAACGGCGGAAUUGAACGAGACAGAUCCGAGAAAUCGCUUAAUGAAGCUGCGGAGGAGCAUCGCAUUGCUCUCGGUUCGCCGAAUUGGCUGGUAAAGCGAUGCGAGCCGUCCUUAAACCUGUCCAUCCAAACGCGCUAGUAUCAUUAUUCAAGUCCUGCCCGGGUAGGUUCUCCCCGGGAAGAGGCUCCGUGAGACGAAGAGGAGGGGUGCAGGUCGAUGCGCAGGUGGAUGCAAGACACAACGAGAGAGAGAGAGAGAGAGAACCGAGAGUCACUACUCCUCUGGACCAGCCACUACCGCGGUUUCACGAAGGAACUCGAAACUUCCCUCGUUCUGGUCGUCGUGGAACUAGCUACUUAAGGUAACGGGAGUUCCGGCGGACGAUCCUCGAAGGAUCAACACGAUCUAACUUUCCGACCGGCGGAGUCUACUCGCGUAUUACACGGGGAAAGGAGAACAGGCGGCGCACGUUUCGUAAGUAAGUCUGCAAUUUUUUUUUUCAUCUUUCACUUCUUUGAUUCUCAAAUUAUUUGCGGUUGCAACAUAGAAAAGCUAGCUUUGAGUGAGAGAAGAUUAUCCCAAUUAAGGAAAUUACGUGAGUAUCGCCGCAAGGAGAUUAACGUCGACACUACGUUCUGUUCGGAAAGAAAUUAAACGCUUUUCUACACUAGCACGAAAGAGAUAUUACGUCAUAUGACGUAAUAAGAGAUAAAUCAUUAUUCUUUGAGGACAGUAAAAUUAUAAAUCAGUCAAUUUAGCGGAGUGUAUAUAAGUGAACGCCUGAGUUUUUACGUAUGCAGGAAGCAAUUUAUCUUUAAAUAAAUCAGAAAGAGAUCCAGUUGAUGUCCAGGAGAGUGAUAGAUGCUGUUUUUAUUUCAGGUUUUUAUCGCUUUGAAAGAAUAAUUUAUCUCGCAAAAAAUUAGCCUUCCGCUCUUAAA